UACGUAGGGCGCAAGCGUUGUCCGGAAUUAUUGGGCGUAAAGAGCUCGUAGGCGGCCUGUUGCGUCCGCUGUGAAAUCCCGGGGCUCAACCCCGGGCCUGCAGUGGAUACGGGCUGGCUAGAGGCAGGCAGGGGAGAACGGAAUUCCUGGUGUAGCGGUGAAAUGCGCAGAUAUCAGGAGGAACACCGAUGGCGAAGGCAGGUCUCUGGGCCACUACUGACGCUGAGAAGCGAAAGCGUGGGGAGCGAACAGG
RNAcentral lists this ribosomal RNA (253 nucleotides) under uncultured bacterium. Its description in RNAcentral is "partial 16S ribosomal RNA". It matches the Rfam family "Bacterial small subunit ribosomal RNA", at positions 524 to 776 of the family's 1533-position model. The record is from RNAcentral.